This 254-nucleotide ribosomal RNA is filed under the name uncultured bacterium. RNAcentral's name for it is "partial 16S ribosomal RNA". It matches the Rfam family "Bacterial small subunit ribosomal RNA", at positions 524 to 777 of the family's 1533-position model. The record is from RNAcentral.
UACGGAGGGUGCAAGCGUUGUCCGGAUUUAUUGGGUUUAAAGGGUGCGUAGGUGGCCUGGUAAGUCCGUGGUGAAAGCCUCUUGCUCAACAAGAGAACUGCCAUGGAUACUGCCGGGCUUGAGUCCAGACGAGGUUGGCGGAAUAGAGGCUGUAGCGGUGAAAUGCAUAGAUAGCCUCUAGAACCCCGAUUGCGUAGGCAGCUGACUAGGCUGGUACUGACACUGAGGCACGAAAGCGUGGGGAGCGAACAAGG